AUCGCCAAAUGAGCAUGCAGGUGAUUAAAAUAUGAUCAUUGCUUGGUUUUGCUUUGUUCCUAUGCAAUCAUAUUCUGCUCGCUUGGCUGAUCGAAAAUCGAUUCUUAUCUAAGCUUAUAUCUAAGUUAAACGGUACUUUUUCUUAAGCACAAGCCGAAAUGUGCAAAUUUUGUCAUUCGAGCGUGAAAGUGCAAGUGAAGUGCAAGUGCGAAGUGUAUACAAAUAAAUUAUAUCAAUUAUAUCAAAUACAAAUAAAAAGGUGAUUAUAGCUGCGAUCAAAAAAGUUUUUUCGGACAAGGUAGCUUCCGAAUACAGCUGGAAGGGGACCAAAAUUAAACCAUCAGCAGAAAGGUGUUACAUUAUAGCCGUAAUAAAAAAUAUUGCUAAUGAAAAAUUUACAUGCACGGAUAAGGAUUUAAAUACGGUGCUACAAAAGCAUUUUGUCCAUGCCAAUGACAAACUGGCAAAGCGUAGGCGCUUAGAAUAAUAUAAAACAUACUUUCUAUUUCUGUUACUAUUUUUGUUAUUUUUUGUUUUGAAUUUCUAUAUUUUGUUU
Drosophila mojavensis is the source of this 556-nucleotide long non-coding RNA. RefSeq lists it as uncharacterized. The record is from RefSeq and is a predicted model, not a curated record. The transcript has 3 exons. Lineage: Eukaryota; Metazoa; Arthropoda; Insecta; Diptera; Drosophilidae.